RNAcentral lists this long non-coding RNA (5350 nucleotides) under Sus scrofa (pig). RNAcentral describes it as "lncRNA (ENSSSCG00060073568.1)". The record is from RNAcentral. Lineage: Eukaryota; Metazoa; Chordata; Mammalia; Artiodactyla; Suidae.
UUUUUUUUUUUCCUGUCUUUCUGCCAUUUCUUGGGUCGCUGCCUCAGCAUAUGGAGCAGCCCUAAAAAAGACAAAAAAUAAAUUUUAAAAAUAAAUUAAAAAAAAAUAAAUCCCAAGUUAAUUCAAUGAACUGGUGAUUGUAACUUUAUGCCACUGUCAACUCCCGUCUUGCCACAAGCUUUUCAAUAGCAAGAGAAAAAAAGAAAGAAAGAAAGAAAGAAAGAAAGAAAGAAAGAAAGAAAGAAAGAAAGAAAGAAAAGAAAAAACCAACUCUGUAAAUUGGUUUUCCAAUUUAUGUUGAAGAAAUCUGUUUUCCACUUUCUAAUUUCUACAACUGGGAAAUUCUGUAUAUUAUGUUACCAUAUAAUGAAGGAUGCCAGUAAACAGAAAGCCCACACGCCUGCACACGCAACAGAUUACACUGUGUGUAAUUGCAAACACUACCACGUUAUGUACUCCUGGGAGUAUUAUUACGGAGAUGUUGUUAUUUAAUGCCUCAUCUAUUUAAAAAAAAAAAAAAUUCGUGCCAUAUGGAUGAAAAAUGAGUAUACUAGCCUGAAUAUGGGGGAAAAUGUAAUCAGAGAUCACUUAAAAGCCAUACCGUUUUAUACAAGGAUGAGAUGGUACAACCAAAAAACUAAGGAAUUCAGAAUGUCUCAAUUUACAAGGCAUGAGCUCACUGCUGGCUACUAAGAUCUCCAUCCUGGCACUGAGAUUGGAGGAGGCUAGCAACAAACGUCACAGCCAUCCUUUGGACUUUCCUGGACCACUGAAGUUACUCCUAAGGACACAGCACCUUGGGACUCCCACCUACGGCACCCAGGGAGGCAGAGCCCCUGGGGAAGGCAGCACCUACAGCCUAGAGGCUCUCCCUGCUGGGGACGAGCCAUCCAGACAGACAUCUGCCGAGCCUCAAGCCUCAUAAAGAGCGCCAGACUCGGGAAGGAGAGCCCCACCUCCAUCGAUCGCCCACGUACCAAGUGGAGUUCAGGACUGCGCUGUGCCUCAUUCAUUCCCCUCUGACCUAUGUGCACAGGAGGGGCAGCAGCCAUUGCUGCUAAAACAAAAGACAGAUGACAGGAAAACCUACUGCCCUUUGGCCGUUCCGAGCACAGGGGAAGUGUAAAAGUGCAGGGGGGGAAGGCAGGCCAGCUGCGCUAAUCCCUUUUUGUCCAGCAGUAAUUAAUAGUAUAAUCCACAUCUAAGAUGCAUUAAAGCGAAAACGCCGCAUUAUCAGAGCGCCCUGCACAUUGCCCCAAGGCAGAACCUCCCCUGCUGACCUGCACAGCCAGGUUACCUCGUCUCAGCCUCCACUUCUCAGGGGAGCUGACUCUGGACACCUCAUAAAAGGACCGAGCUAGCAGCCAGAAGCCUGCACUCAGCCCAACACUCCGAGUCUCUCUUUGGAAAGCACUCCCUUCCCAGGCAGCCCUGCCGGCACAUGGGCUCCACAUUCUGAAGAAGGAGUCAUUCAAAGCAAGUCCUGGGCUCUCUGGCUAACCUUGCAAGGUCACAAGUCCCCUGAUGGCGUUUUAAGAGGUAAGCUGGGGUGAUGCAAGAAGAACGACAAUGCCGUUCACCUCAGUUUGGUGGGAUGGUUCCUUAGGUGUUUCCUACAAAUCCUGGGGGCCCCAGGUAAGCCUCUAUCAAGGAGGAGAAGCCAGCUGCUGCUGUCCAGGCCCGAGGAGGAUACCCCUCCCACCACGACUGAAAUACUGUCUCUAGAGAGAGGCCAUCAGCUCAUCAGGCACAAAGCACAUUCAAGCUGCAGUCAAAUGCCACUGCCCCUUAAAACUCGAGGUGCCUGAAGAAGCAAACUGCUCAACCACACUCUGAAGCCACCACCGACUGAGAACGUGAUCUCAGUUCUCCCACCACCACCCAUCUCAUGGAACAAGUACAACCCACAACAGGCAGAGCGCCCUGAACUCCUGUUCAACCCCACGAUGCACUGGUAUUAGCACCUCAGCCCCAGGCACCCCUGCACCAGCCCAGCCCCCGAAGACGUCUGAGAGUGGCCGCGGGUUAUGGCAGCAACUGGCCUCCACCCUCUAAGUCCUCCUUGGUACUUGGUUGAGACCACUUUUUUCUUUUUCUUUUUUAAUUUAAUGUUUAUUUUUGGACCUGCACUCAUGGCAUAUGGACGUUCCCAGGCCAGGGAUCAAAUCCGAGCCACAGCUGCAACCUAGGUGACACUGGAUCCUUAACCCACUGCAUCACAGUGGGAAUUCCAAAACCACUUAUUUCUUAAUUUCGGCCACUGGAUAUAAAAAACAGUAAUGUGAUUGAAAUCGCUUUGACCUCAGGUUUUUGAGCACCUGGCAUGUGUGAUAUGAUCUCAUCCAAUUAUCUCUACUUGUUCAAAAAAAUUGCACCUUUUAAGAUCUUUACCUAGAACCUAACACAUUCCUCCAUAAUGAUAUUUAAUUACUUCAACCUGAUCCAGAAAGAGCAAUCCCACAUAGUUCAAACUAAGACCACCAGGGGCUGGCCAAGGAAUGAAGUGCCACUUGCACUAUCGCUUCGAGUAGAAAAUGCAUCUGUGGUGGUUCUAGAAACAUGCCCCCAUUCCACGAAAGUAUUUCCCUCUGAGGCUGCCAAAAAGCCACGGUCCAGUGACUGGGCAUACCACCCCACCUGGGCACACAGGAACCACUUCUGACAACGAACCACAGACCUGGCACUUGUGUAGGGGAGGCACCAGCCCCAGAGGCCGCCCAAGGAGCCCAGAGAGGCCUCCAUCCCUCCCAUCUCUGCUGCCUACCCUACCCUGCAACUGACCUCUCAGUGCGGCCAGGUCCCCUGAACCCCUGCUCUUAAUGGUACCGCGACAGGACUCCUCGAGAAUCCUUCAUAAACUCUCUCAAGCACUGCUCUUGGCGCCUCAUCACAAUACAAUCUAACAAAACAAUAUCACAGCAUUUGGGGAAGAGAGAAGCUACCAAAUUUCACCACAAAGCCUCCCUCCCCCUUGUUCCCCAGGAAACCUAGUUUGCCAGAAGAGGCAUCCUUUGCUCCCGUUUUCAUAAGGAUGCUUGGUUUACCUUUACAGUCUAAUCCCACCCAGGCCCAUGGGGGGCUUUCCUUCUCUGUACCAAUUCUCCCACAGGACCCCUGGGGUGGGCCAUCUAGGAGCCCCUCCAAGAUGUCCAUGUUCUCACACCUGGAACCUGUGACUGUACUACCCUGCAUGGCAAAGGUGACUUUUCAGACGGGAUCCGGAUUCUCCUGGAUGGCUCAGGGGGCCCUGAUGCAGCAACAGAGGUCCUUAUAACAAGGAUACAGGAGAAUUUAAAGAGUCAGAAGUAGACGUGAGGAAAGGGUCUCGAGCCAAGCACAGGGGCAGGCUCCAGAAUCUAGAAAAGGCAACGAAACAGAUGCUCUACUCAGGGCCUCCAGAGGGAACCAGCCUUGCCAAUACCUUGACCUUAGCCCAGCGAAACUGAUUUUGGCCUUCAAGACUCUAGAACAGUGAGAAGAUUGAUUUAUGUUAUUUUAAGCCACAAGGUUUGUGGUCAUUUCUAACAGCAUCUCUUCCGGAGAAAGGGGACUGUGAUGAUGAUAAACACACAGAACCAGAAAUACCCUUGAACUUCAGGCAUGAGUCGUCCUCAUUGGGAUCCACACAGCCUUUCUCUCUGGACUCUAGGAGCCCGCUGAAUCCUCUGCUCUCGCACACCAAAAUUGAGAACCCAAGACCCGUGAUGCCAUAAGCAAGGGUUAUGACUUGUGAGUACUGCUCAGUAGAGCAUCUUAGCACCUAGAUGGAAAAAACAACUCCCAUCCUAGCCUGCUGCCUUUGUGAUUCAUAAACCAGGGAAACGACAGAAAAACAGUAAAGAAUGUGUACAGCACUUUGAUUUUAUCCAACAGAAGAUACUGGGCAAAACAAAACACAAAACCUACAAGGAAGCGCCUCCAGAUCCACAAUUCCUUUUACCACACGGACAGGAGCUGGGCCAAGCCAACUUCGCUCCAUGGAUCCCACAGGUGGGCCAGCCUGCAGUCUCGCCUCGCUGCCGGGCAGCCAGCCUGAGCCCUGGAAAGCCAGAGCCUGUGCCCACGGGGCUCCUCAAGACAACGAGAGGAGGAAGGCUCUGGAAGGUGGUGGCAUCCUGCCCACCUCGGAGGUAGCCUGGGGCCUCUGGAUCACGCCAUCUCGCCAGCACCUGAGAGGUGUGGGCCAGGCAGCCAACCACAUCAGAAGCUGGCUGCCAGCCGGCCCCAGUUGCCCAACACCUCCGCAGGAGCCAGCUUUCCAGGAGUGGGUUUUACCCGCCACACAGGUACCAGCCGCUGCUGACCAAAGCGGGGCACGGCGCCUUGAAGAAUGUCCCACACGAUGGCCAGCCCGACGGGGGUCAAGGAGGCUGUCCGGCUACAGAGCAAUGCAAUGCACCUGCGCUCCACACUGGCCUCUGCAAAGCACGUUCUCUGCGCGGAUUACGCAAAGCAGGAUCCCACCAGGCUCUUCCUAGGACUCCAGCCGACCUCGGCUUUCCUCCAAGCCCAUGUCAGACCUCCCACCCCUCCCUACCUAUCCACCCCUUAAUCCUCCCAACCCUACAAGUCACUGGUUUACACGCUCCCAGUGUAGCCCGUUUCCGUUAUGUUUAACAAGUAACGUCGUGAAGGGCGUGUCAGGAUGUUCAGGGUCAGGGUACCUAGGCUUCCUCCGUGGGAGUUAAACCUGUGACUUCAGGGCACGUGUACAAGGUGGCACUUUAAGCCGGGUAAAGUAGUCAAAGGAAAAAAAAGAAAAGAAAGUUAACCAACCUUCCACAAAGGGCUCUCAUUCCGCCUCUGCUUAAUAAAGAUGCAACUCGGAAUAUUCCAAGUCCAAGAGAAGGUGGAUUUUGGCAAAAGCGGCAUCUAAUUUGCCCAAGAUUCAAAGUCUUUGAGCCACUUGACCAGUUUUCUCUCUGCCGACUACUUCUUCUGAUGUGCCCCCCCCCCAAAAUAAACCAGGCCCAGAAAUAGAAUCCCAUCUCCCUUGGCUCUUAUGACUAAUGUAUGGCCUUCUUUUAAAGCCCUCACACCACAGCUCUGACUCCAGUAAUUUCCUCUUCUUCUCUACGAACGUCCAUUUACAGCCUUUCUGUAACCUCUACGUGAACCAAGAAUGUUCUCUGUCCCUCCCACGGAUGUGGGAUCACGCCCUGGUGAGAGCGGGGUGGCGCUGGACGGAAUCUCUCACUGCAGUGUGAGCUCACUCGGGACCCUACCCAAGCCCAGCUCCCGGAGAAGGGGAGGAGGUCUUUUGCUUUAAGGAGCUUUUACAAAAGACAAAACAAUUCCAAGGGCUGGGUGGGCAACCAGUAAAACUCAAGACAUGGCUCGGGGGUUCCUU